CCUACGGGUGGCAGCAGUGGGGAAUAUUGCACAAUGGGGGGAACUCUGAUGCAGCGACGCCGCGUGAGUGAAGAAGUACUUCGUUAUGUAAAGCUCUAUCAGCAGGGAAGAACGUGACGUUUCCUAAAAAAAAAGCUCCUGCGAAAUACGUGCCAGCAGCCGCGGUAAUACGUAUGGAGCAAGCGUUCGCCGGAUUUAAUGGGUGUAAAGUGAGAGUGGGUGGCAGAGCAAGUCCGAAGUGAAAACCCAAAGCCCAACUAUGGGAAUGCUUUAGAAACUGCGCAGCUAGAGUGCAGGAGAGGAAAGCGGAAUUCUUAGUGUAGCGGUGAAAUGCGUAGAUAUUAGGAGGAACACCAGUGGCGAAGGCGGCUUGCUGGACAGUAACUGACACUGAGGCUCGAAAGCGUGGGGAGCAAACAGGAUUAGAUACCCCAGGAGUC
This 440-nucleotide ribosomal RNA is filed under the name uncultured bacterium. RNAcentral describes it as "partial 16S ribosomal RNA". It matches the Rfam family "Bacterial small subunit ribosomal RNA", at positions 338 to 795 of the family's 1533-position model. The record is from RNAcentral.